AAAAUAUUAUAUCUUCAGAAAUGUAUGCUAGUUAUCACAUUGUAGGGCUGCUUGCAUUUUAAAGCAUGGAAAUCGGUAGGGAGUUAGAGAGUUCUAAUUUCCCAUCGUAUCAAAAGUCUUAUUUUAGAAACAAUGGCAGAAUCUGCUGAAUCGACUCAUUUGAAUUUCCUUUCUUUUAAUUGUUCUUACAAGUAGACAUAUUCUUAGAUAUAUUAUACAAUUACAAUUGAAAUUAAAUAAAAAAAUUAACCCAACAUUAACAAAUCUGAACACUCCUUUAUUUCUUACAAAACUUGGUAUAUAAUUCUCUUUUUUGACUUUUUGUUGUGGAAUUUUACAUUCCACAAGCGAAUCUAGGCAACAAACAAGCAAAUGGCAAAUACGAAUAAUGGUAGUUGUAAUAAUGGCUACGAGGAGAUAAAGGUAUAAGAUAUUGAAAAGAAAGUGCCCUAAUUCAGGUAGUAUUGUCAGAGCAAUUCAGGGAGGCUGACAUUUACACUGAGCCCUUAAGGAAGUGAAGCUGUUGGUCAGGUAGACUGUAGAAAUGGUGCAUUCCAGGCAAAAGGAGUAGAGGCAGGAGUAGAGGCUAGAAAAGGUUGACUUGCUUUAGGAGCUGAGAGAAAUUCAGUGAGGCAGAUAGGGCAGAGUGGGAAGGUGGGGUGGCUGAAGAGGGAGUUCACAUGGUAGUAAUAAUCAGAAAAUCCAGGGCCUUGUAGGAUGGCAAGAGGUUGUCCUUUUAUUCUUGAUGAUACAGAAAACCACUGAAAGUUUUGAAGCCCUUGAGUUGUGUAAUCUGAUUCAUGCUUUUAAAAUAUAUUAUUUGCUCUAUGUAGUGAGUGAAUUGGUUAAGGGUGGAAGCAAACUCAGUGAAAUGGUUGUGAAGAAAUGGAAAAGAAAUUAGCUUGGCUUGAAAUAAGAUCAUUGCAGCAGGCAUAGAAGGAAUAUUGAAUCAAAAGACUGAAGGGACAACUGACAGGACUUGCUGUUGGAUCUGUUAGAAGGAAUAGGAGGAUGGUGAGAAAAAGUGAGAAUCCAAAGACACCAAAGUUUCUACUUGAGAAAAUGGAAGAUGGUACCAUUUACUUAGAUGGUGAAGAUUCAGGAAGCACAAAUUUGGGGUGAGUAAAGAAUUCUCUUUUCAAUAUUUUGUGUGAGACUCCUUUGGCUGGUGGCAUCAAAUUAAGCAGUUAGAUAUGUGUCUCUUUCUACUUAAUAGGAUAAAGUCAGAAUCAGCAAAACUUACUUCAGUUCAACAAUUUCUUUUUAGAAGUUUUCAUUACACAAAGUACUCUGCAAGGCAUUUGCAUUAUGGAAGAUUAUCAUUGCCUUGGAUGAGGGAUGGACAUUAUUACUGCUAAAUAGAGGAAAACGUAUUUUGUGACUGAAUAAUUCUGAACAUGUUGGGGCAUUCACAAUAACAGAAUUCACUGAGGAAAUACAUUUGAUCUGAAUCUUGAAGGAUAGAAAUUUGUUUUGGGGCAUUGGUGGGGAGGUAUAGAUGGCAAAGAGGGAUAUGAAAAUUCCACCUUGCAGGGGCAGCAGAAGAGAUGGCACGGACGGAAUAAAUAACUUCCAAGCGCUUUUAUCAUAGCUAAAUCAGGUACCGGUUCUAUAGUUGUGAACAAAGGCAGACUCAGACCCUGUCCUUAAGGAGCUUAUAAUUUAGUGAAACAAAUUGGAAUUCACCACUUUUAAAAAGUGUUAUCACUGUUACCAACCCCCCUUCCCUCAAAUAUUCAAGGCAGUAUGCAAGUAUAAUACAGGAAAAACCAAGCCAAGUUUGUAUUUGGGCAUUACCUCUCUGAGAAAGUGAGGUUUCACAUGAAAACCAUAUACAAUGUCUAAAUUGGAUCUAGGCAAAGAAGAAAAUAAGAUUGCAAUAUCACCUUGAUUAUACUCAGGCAGAUGAAUUGGAAGAAGGGAAACUCGAUGUGGGAACGCAAGUUUGCAGGCCACAGAAGUGUUCUGAACAAAAGAUGGUGAUGUAUAAGAGUGGAGGCAGUGAUGAUUGAAGGAAGUAUCAGAAAUGAAAGGAUAUUUAGGAAUUAAAACUGAUAAGACUUAAUGAUUCACUGUGGGAAGUAAGGAAGAUGGAAAAAUAGAGGUUACUUAAGCUUCCUGACUUAAGUAACUCAGAAGAUGAUGCCAGCUAUUGAACUAUCUGGAACACUGGGGAAGAGGUAGGUUUGCAGUGGGCAUGGGAAAGAUGACUCAUGCCCUUUGGAGCAUUUUAAAUAGCAGUGCUUUGAGAGUCUUCAGGUAGACUGUGAUAAUCUGUUAAUUAGACUGGAGGCCUCAUGAAGCCGAUGACCACAUCUGUGUUGUUCAGUGCUAUAUCCCUAGUGUCUGUCACAGCACUUGCUCUCUGGUCGGCUCUCAGGAAUAUGUCUCAUUAUGAAUUAUUAAUGAAACAAAUAAAUAUGUCUCAUUAAUUCCAAAUGAGCUGCUCUAAGUUAUUUUAGGAAACAUCUGGCGUCAAAUACUUACAGUGCAAAUAAUGAUACUAGUAACUUUGCUAAUUUAAAAUAUCCUUUAUUGAGGGAAAGUUUGCAGUGUGAACAUGAAAGCUCUGAAGAACAAGGUUCCUAUUUAUUUAUUAUUAUUUUUUUUUAAUUUAUUUUUGAGAUGGAGUUUCGCUCUUGAUUCCCUGGCUGGAGUACAAUGGCGUGACCUCAGCUCAUUGCAACCUCCGCCUCCCGGGUUCAAGCGAUUCUCCUGCUUCAGCCUCCGGUGUAGCUGGGAUUACAGGCAUGCACCACCACGCCUGGCUGAUUUUGUACUUUUAGUAGAGACAGAGUUUUCCGUGUUGGUCAGGCUGGUCUCAAACUCCUGACCUUGUAAUCCCCCAACCUCAGCCUUCCAAAGUGCUGGGAUUAUAGGCGUGAGCCACUGCAUCCGGCCAAGGUUCCUUUUUAUGUGUUAGUAUUUUAUGACUUAAACUACUAAGAAGGCUGAGCCACAUUAGUGCCUAUGAUAAUUAUUCUACUGAGUGAUUCAUGGACCAUGAUUCCUGGUAGAACUAGUAGUAUCCUGAGAAAAAUAAUUUUCUGUGUUCCCUUUAUAGAGAUUUAAGGUGAACAAUAAUGUAUAAUAAGCUUCACAAAAUCCUGUAGUAUAAACUCCUCCUUAACAUUGUUUUUCUACACCAAUUUAAGCUUCAAGUUUUCUUAUCGCCUCUCCUUUUUUUCCCUCUAGAGUAUACUGCAAAGCUAUUUCUGUGAAAUACUAAUUUGUAAUUCACUAUCCUAUAGCAUUGCUGUAUGAUACUCAUCUAAAACUGCUACAUGGUGAGAAAUAUGGACUUGAAAAGUAACUUUUAUAUCUGAGAUUCAUCAAUAUCAUCAUCAAAGUCAGAUUUCCAAGUGUGAAUAUUGUGGAUGAUAAACAUCUCAGAUGAGACAAGUAACCUGCUCCAAAUCAACCUCAUGAAUGAAAAAGCUGGCUUGAGAGCCGAAACAGCUUGUGUUUGAAAGAGCACUCCAGGCAGAUUUAAGACACUUCUUUGAUUAUCCAGUUGGCUGAUGGCAAGCAACCUGUGUAUUUACCGUGAGCCCCAGUUUUCUCAUCGAUAAAGUGGGAAGAAGAAAUGAACCAGAGGAACAGCAGAAUCUUGAAGAUACUUUCCAAGAGAGAAAAUACUGAUACCUAAGAAGAACAGACAAUGACAAUCCAAUGAAACUAGAGAUUAACAGAAAAGAGAAUAAAUGAAAAAAAGUCAGGCAUAAUUGGCAAAAGAGAAAAUGGAUUAGACAGAAGGAAAAAUAAACAAACGAAAAUAUAGGAUAAAAAACAUUCUUUCAACAAUAUCGUCACCUCUAAGAAUAUUACCUUUGAAGUUCAAUAUGUGGUAGGUCAAAGAGAUUAUGUACUCUUACUUGAAAUAAGGGUAGAGGUAUCAUGUAUAGUAGUUUAAGGGUUUGACAUUGAAAUGACAUAGGUUUACUCUAAAUGCCAUUGUAAUAAUUUCUUAUUCAGGAACAGUGACCUUACCUCACUCUAACUUGCAUCUCUUUCUCCUUAGGUUUCUUUCCUUCAGCAGUUAAUGAGUAGUUUGGCAAUACAAAAAUAGACAAAGGAAACAGAAAACAGCAUUAGUCCAAGUUGACUGGAUCAUCUACUUUGCCUAUAACUGUUACCACUGAAUGAGCAGGGCCCACAGCCGCUACCAGUGCUUCCAAGAGAUUUGGAGCCUCCGUUAAUGGACUCCCAGUGCACCAGGAAUGAUUACCUUACACGCUGAUGCAGAGAGUAGCAAUUCUAGGAGCUUGAUGCUGGAAGGGACCCACAGAAGUCAUCACCCUGCCUUAAGGCAGAGUGUACCUAAACCCUCCUAGAGGACGAAGAUGAAUUUAAGAACUCUCUCUACUCCACUGCAGGACCUCCUCGCCCUACCCACCAAGCUCUGCGAGCUUAAGAUACAAAGAUAAAUUUAAAUGCGGAAAACAGUCCUCCCUAGAAAAGCUUGGUUUCAAUAUUUCACUGCCUGCUUUUAAUCAUCAUCAGUAGAUUCAGAGAUUCGGUUCUUAUUCUCCUUUUUAUUCAUAGUUAUCCAAAUUAAGUUUAAAUACUUGUACAUUUUGUAUUUUUUGGUAUCUGAGCAGUGUUGUCCUCAAAUUUUAUCCCUUUGAAAAAAAGGAAAUUGUUGCUUAGCAAUAAGGAAAGACAAAGGCUUACAAAUGCAAAGCAUAUUAUAGUCAAGCAUAAGAAGUCAUACUAAAUGAUGAUAUCUAAAGGAAUGCUUGAUUGUGGCAACUCAAUGAGAAAAGAACUGUCUCCUAUUAGCUUUAACAGCAGGGUUUGUUAUCAUUUAAGUACACGCUCUAAUACAUUUAGUGUUUUGUGCUACAUUUAACAAGAUUAAGUGAACACACACAGUUUCAACUCAAAUCUUUAUUGGAAAUCAGAGGCAAGCCUCAUUUCUUGCCAAAACAUUCUCUUGUGGCUCAUUCUUGGAGCAAAUUCCAUAGAAGUAAAUCUGUUUACCCAGGUGUACCAUUGAUCAGUUAAAGGAUUUUCCCUUCAGGUAACUCUUUACUGAACUUUGAAAACAUUACCUAAAAAUUCUAAAAAAUUGAAAUGUCUGAAAG
Molecule: long non-coding RNA, 5087 nt
Organism: Symphalangus syndactylus (siamang)
Lineage: Eukaryota; Metazoa; Chordata; Mammalia; Primates; Hylobatidae
Source: RefSeq, a predicted model, not a curated record